GAGUAACCCUGUGGAGCUAGCCGUCGAAGGUGGGACAAAUGAUUGGGGUGAAGUAGUAACAAGGUAGCGGUAUCGGAAGGUGCGGCUGGAUCACCCCCUUUCUACGGA
This 108-nucleotide ribosomal RNA is filed under the name Staphylococcus pseudintermedius. Its description in RNAcentral is "partial 16S ribosomal RNA". It matches the Rfam family "Bacterial small subunit ribosomal RNA", at positions 1433 to 1533 of the family's 1533-position model. Lineage: Bacteria; Bacillati; Bacillota; Bacilli; Caryophanales; Staphylococcaceae. The record is from RNAcentral.